GACGAACGCUGGCGGCGUGCUUAACACAUGCAAGUCGAACGGAAAGGCUUCUUUCGGGGGGUACUCGAGUGGCGAACGGGUGAGUAACACGUGAGUAACCUGCCCUUGACUUUGGGAUAACUUCAGGAAACUGGGGCUAAUACCGGAUAGGAGCUCCUGCUGCAUGGUGGGGGUUGGAAAGUUUCGGCGGUUGGGGAUGGACUCGCGGCUUAUCAGCUUGUUGGUGGGGUAGUGGCUUACCAAGGCUUUGACGAGUAGCCGGCCUGAGAGGGUGACCGGCCACAUUGGGACUGAGAUACGGCCCAGACUCCUACGGGAGGCAGCAGUGGGGAAUAUUGCACAAUGGGUGGAAGCCUGAUGCAGCAACGCCGUGUGUGGGAUGACGGCCUUCGGGUUGUAAACCGCUUUCGCUCAUGACGAAGCUUUGUGUGACGGUAGUGGGUAAAGAAGCACCGGCUAACUACGUG
RNAcentral lists this ribosomal RNA (467 nucleotides) under uncultured bacterium. RNAcentral's name for it is "partial 16S ribosomal RNA". It matches the Rfam family "Bacterial small subunit ribosomal RNA", at positions 28 to 507 of the family's 1533-position model. The record is from RNAcentral.